This 500-nucleotide ribosomal RNA is filed under the name uncultured Fusibacter sp. RNAcentral describes it as "bacterial SSU rRNA". It matches the Rfam family "Bacterial small subunit ribosomal RNA", at positions 903 to 1382 of the family's 1533-position model. Lineage: Bacteria; Bacillati; Bacillota; Clostridia; Eubacteriales; Fusibacteraceae. The record is from RNAcentral.
GCUACAGAAACGUUAAAGGAAGUGACGGGGGCCCGCACGAAGCGGUGGAGUAUGUGGUUUAAUUCGAUGCAACGCGAAGAACCUUACCUGGUCUUGACAUCCCGGAGACCUUAGGAAACUAGGGGGUGCUUCCAUCUGGAAGAAUCUGGAGACAGGUGGUGCAUGGUUGUCGUCAGCUCGUGUCGUGAGAUGUUGGGUUAAGUCCCGCAACGAGCGCAACCCUUGUGUUUAGUUGCAAACAGGUCAAGCUGUGCACUCUAGACAGACUGCCGUGGACAACACGGAGGAAGGUGGGGAUGACGUCAAAUCAUCAUGCCCCUUAUGAUCUGGGCUACACACGUGCUACAAUGGCCGGUACAACGGGCAGCGAAGGAGCGAUCCGGAGCGAAUCCUAAAAAGCCGGUCCCAGUUCGGAUUGCAGGCUGAAACUCGCCUACAUGAAGUUGGAGUUGCUAGUAAUCGCGAAUCAGAAUGUCGCGGUGAAUGCGUUCCCGGGUCUU